RNAcentral lists this long non-coding RNA (1304 nucleotides) under Homo sapiens (human). RNAcentral describes it as "HSALNT0354207". The record is from RNAcentral. Lineage: Eukaryota; Metazoa; Chordata; Mammalia; Primates; Hominidae.
CUUUCAUGAAUUUAUUCAUUAAUUUUUAAAAAGCAAUUUAUUGAGUUCCUGUGCUUCAAUCUAACAGGGAAGAUAGACAAUUAAAUGACUACAACACAAAAUGAAAAUUGUUAUAAAUGAGAAGCACAGGGAAUUAUGGGAGCUCACAGGAGGCCCGCCAACUAAAAGGGUGGAAAAAACUUUCUGAACAACUUUUAAGCUGACUCCUGAAGAAUGAGGAGGACUUAUUUAAGCAAGUGUGGGGUGUUGGGGAUGGGAGACAGGGGUAAUUGUGUGUGUGUGUGUCUGUGUUCAGUGUGAGAAAGCAAGAAAGAAUGUUUCAAGAAUAAGACAAUGGCAUGCGUGAAGCCGAAGUAAAGAAAGCACAGAGAUUUUAAGAAAUUGCAAGGGCUGAGUAUGGCUAGAAUAUAGCAUACGAUGGGGAGAUGGACACACUGAGAGAAGAACUGGACAGGCACUGGGGAGCCACUGAAAAUUCUUAAGCAGAAGACCAAGGCAACUAGACACCAGCCAUCAAGAGCUGCUUAUGCGGGAGGCCCUCGGUGACUCACUUGCUCCUACUUCCCUGGGACUAUCUUCCUCAUACCACCUGCAGACCCAGAAGUCAAGCCUGUAGGAUGAAACCUGUCCAUCCACGAGAUGGGAAGCUGCCAGUAAUGAUCGAAGAGGCACAGUCAAUACUUGCCCUGACUUCUUUCUUGCGUGAGAUCCAAGAACCCUCUCCUGAGCUCUGGAUGCGGACCCCUUUUCUGGUAACACCAGCAACCUAGGCAGCCAGCAACCUAAGUUUUGCCUCUGCCAGUCAGCAUCAAGGGCUGAGCCUAGGAGAACUGCCACCCCCAAUAAUCUCUGGGAAGGAGGCUGGCAAAGAAGCCUCGUAACUCCUGGGCUAUGUGAUAUUGAGUGAAGGAGGGUGACCUUUGAGAAAAAAACUGGAGUCUGAUUUGUACCAAAGGAAAUCUAGGAAUUAGAGCAGAACUGCGUGCUGUUGCAUCUGAGAGCGUCGCGCAUUUCUACGUACUUGCACUGAGGGGAAUGUUGGCUCAUAACUGGGUACGUGGCUGAGCCCAAGAGAUACCCGACAGCACCCCACCAGGAGGAAGCAGAAGCCAGGGAUCUGGGAGGGUAACAGCCAUUUGUGAAGAAGGAACUUAGCCAUGGAUGAUACCAUUUCAUAUCUUCCAGAACUUUCAUACACAUUGUUGGCCCCCCUGUGAAGGAGGGAGCCAUUUUUAAAAACUAGGGCUCUGAGGUUUUUUGGGAAUAAGUUCCCAGAUGUUUUCCAGGUCCUGAGCAGCCCUGGC